GAUUUAACUGGAGAGUUUGAUCCUGGCUCAGAACGAACGCUGGCGGUAUGCCUAACACAUGCAAGUCGAGCGCGAAGCUCCUCUUCGGAGGAGUGUUAGAGCGGCGAACGGGUGCGUAACACGUG
Molecule: ribosomal RNA, 125 nt
Filed under: Deltaproteobacteria bacterium
Lineage: Bacteria; Pseudomonadati; Myxococcota; Myxococcia
Description: partial 16S ribosomal RNA
Rfam family: Bacterial small subunit ribosomal RNA
Source: RNAcentral